UGCAGCCUACGGGAGGCAGCAGUAGGGAAUCUUCCACAAUGGGCGAAAGCCUGAUGGAGCAACGCCGCGUGGGUGAAGAAGGUCUUCGGAUCGUAAAACCCUGUUGUUAGAGAAGAAAGUGCGUGAGAGUAACUGUUCACGUUUCGACGGUAUCUAACCAGAAAGCCACGGCUAACUACGUGCCAGCAGCCUCGGUAAUACGUAGGUGGCAAGCGUUAUCCGGAUUUAUUGGGCGUAAAGGGAACGCAGGCGGUGUGUUAAGUCUGAUGUGAAAGCCUGCGGUUUAACCGGAGUAGUGCAUUGGA
Molecule: ribosomal RNA, 305 nt
Filed under: uncultured bacterium
Lineage: Bacteria
Description: bacterial SSU rRNA
Rfam family: Bacterial small subunit ribosomal RNA
Source: RNAcentral